CUGCGUUCUCAGGGCGGGGUGAAACUCCCCACCGGCGGUAAUGCCCGGCUUCCGCCGGGACGAGCCCGCGGGCGCCUGGGGCCUUGCGGCUCCAGGGACGAGCAGACCCGGUGCGAUCCCGGGGCCGACGGUCAUAGUCCGGUUAUGAGAACCGCU
This 156-nucleotide non-coding RNA is filed under the name Phenylobacterium sp. RNAcentral's name for it is "FMN sequence". It matches the Rfam family "FMN riboswitch aptamer (RFN element)". From Rfam's summary of the family: The RFN element is a highly conserved domain that is found frequently in the 5'-untranslated regions of prokaryotic mRNAs that encode for flavin mononucleotide (FMN) biosynthesis and transport proteins. This element is a metabolite-dependent riboswitch that directly binds FMN in the absence of proteins. The record is from RNAcentral. Lineage: Bacteria; Pseudomonadati; Pseudomonadota; Alphaproteobacteria; Caulobacterales; Caulobacteraceae.